Molecule: ribosomal RNA, 420 nt
Filed under: bacterium
Lineage: Bacteria
Description: partial 16S ribosomal RNA
Rfam family: Bacterial small subunit ribosomal RNA
Source: RNAcentral
UGGGGGAUAUUGCACAAUGGGCGAAAGCCUGAUGCAGCGACGCCGCGUGGGGGAUGAAGGCUUUCGGGUUGUAAACCUCUUUCGCUAUCGAACAAGGCCCGCUUAGGGUGGGUUGAGGGUAGGUGGAGAAGAAGCGCCGGCUAACUACGUGCCAGCAGCCGCGGUAAUACGUAGGGCGCGAGCGUUGUCCGGAAUUAUUGGGCGUAAAGGGCUUGUAGGCGGCUUGUUGCGCCUGCUGUGAAAACGCGGGGCUUAACUUCGCGCGUGCAGUGGGUACGGGCAGGCUUGAGUGGUGUAGGGGUGAGUGGAAUUCCAGGUGUAGCGGUGGAAUGCGCAGAUAUCUGGAGGAACACCGAUGGCGAAGGCAGGUCACUGGGCCAUUACUGACGCUGAGGAGCGAAAGCAUGGGUAGCGAACAGG